CUGCCUAUUAGUGGGGGACAACAUUCCGAAAGGGAUGCUAAUACCGCAUACGCCCUACGGGGGAAAGCAGGGGAUCACUUGUGACCUUGCGCUAAUAGAUGAGCCUAAGUCGGAUUAGCUAGUUGGUGGGGUAAAGGCCUACCAAGGCGACGAUCUGUAGCGGGUCUGAGAGGAUGAUCCGCCACACUGGGACUGAGACACGGCCCAGACUCCUACGGGAGGCAGCAGUGGGGAAUAUUGGACAAUGGGGGGAACCCUGAUCCAGCCAUGCCGCGUGUGUGAAGAAGGCCUUUUGGUUGUAAAGCACUUUAAGCGAGGAGGAGGCGCUCUAGGUUAAUACCCUAGAUGCGUGGACGUUACUCGCAGAAUAAGCACCGGCUAACUCUGUGCCAGCAGCCGCGGUAAUACAGAGGGUGCGAGCGUUAAUCGGAUUUACUGGGCGUAAAGCGCGCGUAGGUGGCUAAUUAAGUCAAAUGUGAAAUCCCCGAGCUUAACUUGGGAAUUGCAUUCGAUACUGGUUAGCUAGAGUAUGGGAGAGGAUGGUAGAAUUCCAGGUGUAGCGGUGAAAUGCGUAGAGAUCUGGAGGAAUACCGAUGGCGAAGGCAGCCAUCUGGCCUAAUACUGACACUGAGGUGCGAAAGCAUGGGGAGCAAACAGGAUUAGAUACCCUGGUAGUCCAUGCCGUAAACGAUGUCUACUA
This 700-nucleotide ribosomal RNA is filed under the name uncultured bacterium. RNAcentral's name for it is "bacterial SSU rRNA". It matches the Rfam family "Bacterial small subunit ribosomal RNA", at positions 126 to 818 of the family's 1533-position model. The record is from RNAcentral.